GGGUUGGGCCAGGCCCUCACUGACGGCACCCGGUGACUCAGCACGAGCUGGCUGGCCACGCCCAGGCGUGCGCGACCUGGCCCAGGUCCUGGGAAGGCCCCAGACCCCAUGUGGAGGACUUGGGGGCGUGGGGAGCCCAUCCCGCCCUGCUGCACCCUCGCUGCCCCUCCCACACCCACUGGCACUGUCCCUGCAGGUGGCCUGCACAGUGCAGAGUGGGGCUCUGUGGAGGGCAGACCACCUGCUUGUUCUCAGCCCUUCCCAGCCAGACCUGCAGCCAGGGCUCUCCACCUGCACACCUGCCCAGGAAGCCCGCUGGGCCCAGAGACCGGGGCACAGGACCUGCCAUCAUGGCACAAGGAGCUUCCUGGUGGGAGAGAUGGGAGCUAGGGGAAGAGGAAGGGAGGGUCCUGUCUCCCUAGCCCACCCUGGGCCUCCUAGCAGAAGAGCCCCACCUGUCCACCACCUCCAGCCUCCGGCCUCUGAACUGGUGGGGGCUACAAUGCUGGAAGCAGGUAGUGCAGCCUCCUACUGUCGAAAGGCCCAGGGGAAGAGAGCAUGUGGGACAGGGCCAGUGCCCCCAACAUGGCCACACCCGGAGGCUCCAGGGGCCUCGAGGCCACCUGCCUGCGGCAGCCAUGUCAUCCGGGGCUCACCCAAAGCCCCUGCAUGGGGAGGGGUCCUGGAAUAGCCAUGUGACCAUGGAUCUCGGCCUCCUCUUCCCUGCUCCCCCGUACAGGUGGCCUGGGAGCCCCACCUCCUCCCCAGGGUGCUCUGACAUCAGAAGGGCUGUGACGGGAAGGCCACACCUUCACAGGACCUGCGGGUGCCUGCCUGGGACCUGGCUCUCAGUGGGCACCCAGCCCCCUCCUGGUGUUGCCUGGGGAGUCCUAGGGAUUCGACCCAUCUCCUUGUCCAGGAAGUGACCACUGGGAAGGCGGUGCACCCCCCUCCAAGUCAUGACUUGGGGUGUAAGCUGGUCCCGGCCUCCCCGCCCCCGCCCCCAGCAUCACAGUAAGCCUGGCAGAUUGGUCAUAUUCAGAAACCACCCAGAGGGGCUGGGUGUGGCACAUACCUGGAAUCCUAGCACUUUGGGAAAGCCAGGAGGUGAUCACUUGAGCCCAGGAGUUCAAGACCAGCCUGGGCAACACAGUGAGACCUCAUCUCUACAAAACAUACAAAAGUUAGCUGAGUAUGGUGGUGUGCUACUCAGGAGGCUGAUGUGGGAAGCUCAUUUGAGCCCUGGGGUUUCUGGCUGCAGUGAGCUGUGAUUGUGCCACUACACUCCAGCCUGGGUGACAGUGAGACCCCAUCUCAAAAAAAAAA
This 1326-nucleotide long non-coding RNA is filed under the name Macaca fascicularis (crab-eating macaque). Its description in RNAcentral is "lncRNA (ENSMFAG00000049877.1)". Lineage: Eukaryota; Metazoa; Chordata; Mammalia; Primates; Cercopithecidae. The record is from RNAcentral.